This is a non-coding RNA of Marinilactibacillus sp. 15R, 174 nucleotides long. NCBI's taxonomy places the organism in Bacteria, Bacillati, Bacillota, Bacilli, Lactobacillales, Carnobacteriaceae. The record is from Rfam.
UCCAUCGUGAGGUGGAAUCUAAAGGAAGCUGGAGGCAAACACUCGCACUGACGAACAGAAACCUUAUAUGAAGGCUGAAGAGGGACGGAUGAGUCUGCCUAACAAGACAAAGUCCAAUACUGCACGAAUCCCUUACAGUAAAUGAGGCAGUGACAUGAGUGGAAGGUUAUCGCA